CACGUAGGGGGCAAGCGUUGUCCGGAAUUAUUGGGCGUAAAGGGCAUGUAGGCGGCCUUGUAAGUCAGGUGUAAAAGGUAUGGGCUCAACUCAUACAAGCCAUCUGAUACUGUGAGGCUGGAGAGUAGUAGAAGGAAGUGGAACUUCCGGUGUAGCGGUGAAAUGCGUAGAUAUCGGAAGGAACACCAGUGGCGAAAGCGGCUUCCUAGACUAUUUCUGACGCUGAGGUGCGAAAGCUAGGGGAG
RNAcentral lists this ribosomal RNA (245 nucleotides) under uncultured bacterium. Its description in RNAcentral is "partial 16S ribosomal RNA". It matches the Rfam family "Bacterial small subunit ribosomal RNA", at positions 524 to 768 of the family's 1533-position model. The record is from RNAcentral.